UGCAACGGAGGGCAGAACAGGCAGCUGCCGCCUGAAAGCGAGAUCGCAAAUGCUCGCUGUGUUGGAGAUGCCGGAAUGCCGACCGGCUCGUUGCG
The submitters of this non-coding RNA (95 nucleotides) gave its source as unclassified sequences. The record is from Rfam.